AAGGCUUGCUUUACAUAGGUAACAAAAAGGGUCGCUUGCUACGUAAAUAUGAAUGCUGUAACUGUUGCUGCAAUUAUGAUUGCUGUAUUAUCUACGAUGGUUUCCUCCACAUCAGCCACGCAACAUUGCCCGUCGUUCUCCUGUGGAUACCCCAAUGAUUGCUCAGGCGUUCCACCACAUGGAUUAUCCGCAAGUUGCAACAACUGCGUAAAAUGGUACUACAAUUCCAGUUCAAAGGGAUGCCAAUCCUUUCAAAAAGAAGGAUGCAAGGACGGCUGCAACAUUUUUGAUGGUUUGCACGAUUGCCUAAGAGCGUGUGAUUACGCCAGGGGGAAAUAAAAAAGCAACACGGUGUGAACUUCUCAUCGCAAAGGAUAUGUGUGUGCGCGAUAUAUACUAAGCUCCUUUGAAUCUGCACUGAUUUACAGUAUAUGCUACGGUGGUGGUAAUCCGUCUGCUUUAGAAAUGACGAAAUGCUGUGCUUGAUUGCCUUGUGUGUCUUUGCUAUGCAAUGGGCUGUGCUGUACUUUCAGUACCAUUGUUUUUCUUUAUUUGCACCAACCUAACGGUUUUGCCAAUGAGUGCAUUUGAGGAGCCUUACGGUAGCAUGCUUUUCGUUCUGCUUUGCAGGUUGUGUAUUUGCAAUUUAUGUAUUAAUAAAAGGCUAAUUGAAAGUGGC
Molecule: long non-coding RNA, 679 nt
Filed under: Dermacentor andersoni
Lineage: Eukaryota; Metazoa; Arthropoda; Arachnida; Ixodida; Ixodidae
Description: uncharacterized LOC126544490
Source: RNAcentral